GACGAACGCUGGCGGCGUGCUUAACACAUGCAAGUCGAACGGUGAAGCGCCUUCCUUUUUGGUGGGUGUGGAUGAGUGGCGAACGGGUGAGUAACACGUGAGUAACCUGCCCCCUUCUUCUGGAUAACCGCAUGAAAGCGUGGCUAAUACGGGAUAUUCUGGGUCUGUCGCAUGAUGGGUCUGGGAAAGAUUUUGUUUCGGUGGGGGAUGGGCUCGCGGCCUAUCAGCUUGUUGGGGGGGUGAUGGCCUACCAAGGCGGUGAGGGGUAGCCGGCCUGGGAGGGUGGACGGUCACACGAGGAGGGGGGCACGGCCCGGGCUCCUACGGGAGGCAGCAGUGGGGAAUAGGGGACAGUGGGGGCAAGCCUGAUGCAGCGACGCAGCGUGAGGGAUGGAGGCCUUCGGGUUGUGAACCUCUUUCGCCAGUGAAGCAGGCCUGCCUCGUUUGUGGGUGGGUUGACGGUAGCUGGAGAAGAAGCGCCGGCUAACUACGUG
RNAcentral lists this ribosomal RNA (494 nucleotides) under uncultured bacterium. RNAcentral's name for it is "partial 16S ribosomal RNA". It matches the Rfam family "Bacterial small subunit ribosomal RNA", at positions 28 to 507 of the family's 1533-position model. The record is from RNAcentral.